RNAcentral lists this ribosomal RNA (443 nucleotides) under uncultured bacterium. RNAcentral describes it as "partial 16S ribosomal RNA". It matches the Rfam family "Bacterial small subunit ribosomal RNA", at positions 338 to 795 of the family's 1533-position model. The record is from RNAcentral.
CCUACGGGAGGCAGCAGUGGGGGAUAUUGGACAAUGGGGGAAACCCUGAUCCAGCGACGCCGCGUGAGUGAAGAAGUAUUUCGGUAUGUAAAGCUCUAUCAGCAGGGAAGAAAGAAAUGACGGUACCUGAGUAAGAAGCCCCGGCUAACUACGUGCCAGCAGCCGCGGUAAUACGUAGGGGGCAAGCGUUAUCCGGAAUUACUGGGUGUAAAGGGAGCGUAGACGGUAAUGCAAGUCUGGAGUGAAAGGCGGGGGCCCAACCCCCGGACUGCUCUGGAAACUGUGUAACUGGAGUGCAGGAGAGGCAGGCGGAAUUCCUAGUGUAGCGGUGAAAUGCGUAGAUAUUAGGAGGAACACCAGUGGCGAAGGCGGCCUGCUGGACUGCAACUGACGUUGAGGCUCGAAAGCGUGGGGAGCAAACAGGAUUAGAUACCCUAGUAGUC